UUGAUCCUGGCUCAGAAUCAACGCUGGCGGCGUGCCUAACACAUGCAAGUCGAACGAGAAAGUGGAGCAAUCCAUGAGUAAAGUGGCGACCGGGUGAGUUACACGUGACUAACCUACCCUCGAGUGGGGAAUAACCACGGGAAACCGUGUCUAAUACCGCAUAACAUCAUCGGAACGCAGGUUCUGAUGCUCAAAGGAGUAAUUCGCUUGAGGAGGGAGUCGCGGCUGAUUAGCUAGUUGGCGGGGUAAUGGCCCACCAAGGCUUAGAUCGGUAGCCGGCCUGAGAGGGCGCACGGCCAUACUGGAACUGAAACACGGUCCAGACUCCUACGGGAGGCAGCAGUGGGGAUUUUUGCGCAAUGGGGGAAACCCUGACGCAGCAACGCCGCGUGGAGGAUGUAGUCCCUUGGGAUGUAAACUCCUUUCGACCGGGAAGAUGAUGACGGUACUGGUAGAAGAAGCACCGGCUAACUCUGUGCCAGCAGCCGCGGUAAUAAGGU
Molecule: ribosomal RNA, 500 nt
Filed under: uncultured Acidobacteriota bacterium
Lineage: Bacteria; Pseudomonadati; Acidobacteriota
Description: bacterial SSU rRNA
Rfam family: Bacterial small subunit ribosomal RNA
Source: RNAcentral